AUACUUACCUGGCAGGGGAGAUACCAUGAUCAUGAAGGUGAGGCCUAUGCAUUGCACUCUGGAUGUGCUGACCCCUGCGGUUUCCCCAAAUGUGGGAAACUCGACUGCAUAAUUUGUGGUAGUGGGGGAUUGCAUUCAUGCUCCCUCCUA
Molecule: small nuclear RNA, 150 nt
Filed under: Castor canadensis (American beaver)
Lineage: Eukaryota; Metazoa; Chordata; Mammalia; Rodentia; Castoridae
Description: U1 spliceosomal RNA (ENSCCNG00000006327.1)
Rfam family: U1 spliceosomal RNA
About the family: U1 is a small nuclear RNA (snRNA) component of the spliceosome (involved in pre-mRNA splicing). Its 5' end forms complementary base pairs with the 5' splice junction, thus defining the 5' donor site of an intron.
Source: Rfam by way of RNAcentral